This 5278-nucleotide unclassified non-coding RNA is filed under the name Orussus abietinus. RNAcentral describes it as "l-threonine ammonia-lyase, transcript variant X3". Lineage: Eukaryota; Metazoa; Arthropoda; Insecta; Hymenoptera; Orussidae. The record is from RNAcentral.
UUCGCGUAGUUUUAGAUGUGGGAUAUUAACAAAAUGUCAGAUGGUCCAGGUUCCUCCACACUUCAGGGAUCAUCCUCUCGGUUUACCGGCGAAGACUCUGCACUCGCGGGGGUGACCGGCGUAAUUAUAAUAAAAAAGAAAAACAGUGCCAAUUUAAUUAAAAAAAGUGAAGAAAUUUCGCGAGGUUUGGUAAUCCUUGCUUUUCAGGAAAAUGGGGACGAAGGGGAUCUGCAGGAUCCCUUUUGCAUCGAGGACAAUCCUCAGAAGAUCACCUUCGAGGACAUCACCUCGGCUGCUUUCAAAAUCAAGGGCGGGAUUAUCAAGACUCCUUGCACGCAAUCCCGACUGUCCAAGAUGACGGGAGUGGACCUCUUCCUGAAGAUGGACUUCCUGCAGACGACGGGAAGCUUCAAGGAGCGGGGCGCCCGUUAUGCCCUCGUGAUGCUGAAGGAGGAGCAGAGAAGCAAAGGGGUGAUUUCGGCAUCCCUAGGGAACCAUGCCCUGGCUUUAUGCUACCAUGGAUCAACCCUAGGGAUUCCAGUGACGGUGGUGAUGCCAGUGUUGGCGCCGAUCAUGAAGAUCGCGGCGUGCAGACAAUACGGAGCGGAAGUGGUGGUGAAGGGCGCGGAAAUGGGAGAAGCAAAACGCAUCGCCCUUAAGCUGGCAAAGGAGAAAGGACUAACAUACAUAAACGGAUACGACCACCCGGACAUUAUGGCCGGCCAGGGCACGCUGGGAUUGGAGGUGGUCGAGCAGGUCCCGGAUAUCCACGCAGUGGUGGUACCGGUUGGUGGAGGUGGCCUAAUUGCUGGGGUAGCUCUGGCGAUGAAGACGUUAUACCCCGACGUGACCGUCAUCGGGGUGGAGUCCGAGAGAUGCGCCAGCUUCACCGCUGCCAGGGAGUCCGGCAGGCCAACCUACACCACCAUUGAGUCCACCUUGGCCGAUGGUUUGGCGGUUCCCAUGGUCGGAUACAAUGCUUUCGCCACGGCCAACCCUCUUAUCGAUAAAAUGGUCGUCGUCAAGGAGGAGUGGAUCGCCAUCGCCAUCUUGAAACUCGUGGAGAACGAGAAGUGCAUCGUCGAAGGGGCUGGAGCGACCGGGUUGGCGGCUAUCCUGGCUGGGCAGUUGGAUGAGUUGAAAGGAAAGAGGGUGGUCAUCCCUCUAUGCGGUGGCAACAUCGACACCACGAUCCUGGGCAGGUGUCUCGAACGAGGUCUGGCUGCGGAAGGACGACUUCUGAAAUUCAGCGUGACGGUGUCCGAUCGUCCCGGGGGGAUCGCCGAGCUCUGCAGGAUGCUGGCCGAGAUCGGCGUCUCCAUCAAGGACAUCAUGCACGAGCGCGCCUGGAUAAUGUCGGACAUCUUCAGCGUCGAGGUCAAAGUGGUCUGCGAGACGAGGGACAGCGUCCAUUCGGAGGAGCUCCGCAAGAUGCUGCAUCGAAACUACCGGAAGGUCGUCUUCGGCUCAAUUCAUCAUCCCUCGUGAGCGAAAUGGAUGACUGCUCGAACAACUCAGCCAUCUUGUCGGUGGGACCUCUUCAAGAUCGAAACAGAGAGGGACCACGAUACCCCUUAUAGUAUCCCAGAAUGAACCGCCCACCACCAAAAACAAGCGUCUUCAUCAUCGUCUUCAUAGUCAACACCAACUUCAUCAUCUCACCUCCACUUCACUUGAGAAAAUCAAGUGACCACCGAUCUCACGAUCGAUUUACGGGACAUGCCUCAUCAUUUUUCAAGUCCAGCGCUCUUCAGGGUAUAAAAAUGGACCCGGGGAUCAUUUCGGAGGUGCGUUGGGAUUCGGCAACCUCGUGACGGACACGACUCAGUACAGGAGGGGGAUAAAUAGGGGUUGGCUAGGGAAAGGGUUGGGAGAGAAGUGGAGGAUACGUGACUGAAAUCGUUAAAGGCCUUGGGGCCGCUUUCCAGGAAAUGUAACUGCUGGCCACCCCAUUUAAUUCAAUGUCUCGUACCGGGGGCGAACCUAACGUCCAUUACACCCCUAUCUCGUUUCGGCAUCGUCUUAACCGGGAACGCGACGCCAUGGCCGCCUCCAAAGUGUCGUCGACCAAAUGCGAGCCAAGGUUUCAUUACUCGGUCUCGAGGGUUGCCAACUGCCCCUCAUCCUGGGGUGAGAUCCGGCAUAAACCCGCGCUAAUCGCUAACGCUACAACCCCUCUCCCCCUAAAAAAUCUCCCCAAAAUCUCCCAUUUUCAUUCCAAAACCUUCCCCGCUAAUCAGACCCAUUGCAGGUGGCUUCCGAAGCCAUAAUCGAAGCUCAAAAUGAAAUGGUAACGCAAAACCAGCCAUUUUUCAUCACAAUCAGAAUUUGAUUAAACGCCGCGAAGUCCCACCUCUGCAAAAACAUUGUGCUUAUUUUUUUUUUUCGCCUUCCCACCCCUCCUGGAGUUUCGCGUUUCGGUUCCCGGAUACCAGCUGGGCAGAAUUCCGCUUUUGAAUAGAAUGUGCUACCCGGAACGAAUAAUUUAGCGUUAUCGAAUUUUUCCGUCCCUUUCCCCGGUUUUCGCGUUUUUGGGAUUCGCCGCGAUGUAAAGCAUUUUUCCACCCCUGGUGCGAUUCACAGGUCUGUUUAACCACUUCGUGUAUUCUUACUGGAAUUAAUAAUGUCAAUUAUUUUCAUUCCGAGGGUGUAUUUUUUUUCGACAUCUGAUAUUCGGUCCGCGGAUCCGAACAAAAUGGCGGACGGAUCUCUCUAUUCCCGAGGAGGACGCUGCAGGACGAAAUACGCUUGUUUAAUGGCCGCGCCGUAGCGACGUGCAUGUACGUAAUGCAUGUAUGUGCUGCUGUACAUACCCAUCCCGAAAUAUAUGGGGUAGAUAAAAUUAGAUGGAUCGCUCUCAGGGAGGAGGCGCGAUUUCUCGUUAAACCGAAGCAGGCGAGUGACGUCCUUUUAGAUCCGUCCCAAAGGUCCUGGAAUCGGUCGUGGCGAUUGGAAAUGCCGUUUAAGGUCCCCGUUUAUGUGUUUACGCGUUUGUACGCCUUUAUAGACACCCAUCGAUAGAUCGAUCGACAAACGGAUGGAUUUCUGUCAACCCUGCGUUGCGUAUCGAGCCGAAGGGCGUCGAAAGGAAGAAUUUCACUCAAUUUUGUCACAACUUAAUGCAACAAUUUUUUCUUCGUGAUACUCCUCGUAGGAUGAUUUUCAGUUUUGAAUUUUCUAAUAGAUGUUUCUAAAAUGGCCGAACGCGAUCGAUCGACCUCUGAGUUGGAAUUAUUUCUUUCAGAGCUAGUUAAAAAUGGCUACCGAGACUUUAAGAGACUUAAAGGCUGAGUUUCCCUCUGGAAUUUCCGCGAGGCCCUGUUUUUUUCCCUAUUUCGGGGGAGGGGGCGCACGAGACCCGAAUUUACAGCAUUUAAUAUCGGCAAAAUGAAGUACGAGCGCGCGGGAGGCCGAGCAAGGAGGCCGCCAUUUUGUGGCAUCGAUAAAUCGCUUUUAUUGCCGGUAGGAAAUUCGCCUUAGCGGGUGGUACGACUGCUUCAGGUUUUCACCCCAUACCCAGGGUGUGUAAGGGGCGCAUGAAUAAAAUCUAAUACGAGCUGGAGCACAGCUCGAUCUUGAAAAAAAAGCAAAACUUCCAAAAAAAUCACCUUCACGGUCGCCAUUUCCGCCUCCCUCGCGGCCGCCAUUUUCCUCCGUCCCCGUAACAGAAAAUAUUUUUCCCCAAACGAAGCGUUUAAAAAAUGCGACUUUUAAACAUUUUUCUCGAGGAAGAAAGUAGGAAUGGCGGUCAUAAUGGAGAGAGGUCCUGAAGGAAUCAAAAUGGAAGUAAAUGUAAUCCUGGCCGGACGUUUACGGUGACAAUAAAAUGAAAGGGACACGCGGCGGUUUUAAGCCGCUUUUAAAUUCUUUCGGAAGCACCCCGAUUCCGCGUUUCCGGGUGGAUUCGCCCCUUGAUUCUAUCGCGCGGUGAGUUUUUCCUUUUAUUUCCCGAAAAUUCCGGGUAGAAACGCGAUUUCGCAUCUCUCCAGAAAUUCAGCCUCUUCGCGAGGUCCUUCGCAGGGUUCAUCCCUUUAUCGAAGGGCGAUUUAAUUUCCUACUGUCCCGGUUUCAAUUUGGGGCUGCUUUUAAGGGUAGAAGGAAAGCGAGAAAAGUCAAUCUCCCUCCCAUUUUGCCCACUGAAUAUGGGAUAGGGUUUAUUUCGUCAGAAAUUCCGGGAAAAGUGCCGAAACGGGGGUGGGUGUAAACGAAAGGACUUUCAGUUCGACAAAAGUGAAUAACUUAAACGGCCCUAAUGCUGGAAAGUUCCCUAAUUAAUGCGACGUUAAGGGCCGCUUAAUAAAGUGGUUGCCAGAAUGUCAAUCCGAGGGUGGAAAUGGGGUGUAAAGGUUCUCCAGUCGGCGCGAAGGGUUGACAAUGAUUUUUCGGUAAUUCCCUAGAAAUCCUGAUUUUCCCCAAUCCUGGACUCGAGGCUAAACAAAAAUGACAAUGGGCGAAAAUCUUGAUCCGGGACUCUACCAAUAAACAAUGGCGAGAUGGAGGGAAACGGAGAUCCCUCGAAGAACAAUCACCCCGGCAACGAAAUUUGCGAAAAAGAGAUUCAGUCCUGGGGAAGAAAAAACCCUCCCUGAAAAGAACCGCUGCUGAAGGAAAGAAGAGGCAAGGGAACCCCGGGAAAAUUAUAACAGUGAAAGUGGACAGGCGAAUUAAUGUAAAGGAGAAAGAAGAGCAGCCCCUUUCUUCGAUUCCGCCUUUCUUCCCGGGGAACUUUCUCUUCCGAAACAAUAGGCCAUUCUGUUAGCGCAAGCAAUAGGCGAGGGAAGAGAGAAGUAACCGGAAACUCGGAUGCAAAAGAGACGCCGAGAAAGCCUGGGAGAGGAGGGGCACGAAGCCUCAGCGAUUAUAUUUUUCCAUUAGCGUAAAUAUCCCGACUGCCAAUUUGCAUUUAUAUGUAUAAUAAUACUAGUUAUUCGAUUGUUGGCUCAAAGACGUCGCUCGAAGGCAGCUCGAAGAGGAGGAACGCCGGAAGAGUUGCAGAGGGAUGCUACGUGAGAUGAUGGAAGAUACUCGGGUCCGCCGAGAGGAGUGAAUUGGCUGGAUGCAAGGUUUCCUGCACCGAGUCGUGCAAUUAGCCGACGUAUGCGGCAAGACCUGGUGCACAAUCCUCGAGCAGCGAUUGGCCGGCUGGUGAACCAGUUUCCUGGACUGCAGACUGUAUCUUGACCACUUGGCCAUGGAUCCUAAUUAAGAGGAAUGCUAUACGGGAUUACGAGAUGUACCCGCGGCACUCCCUCUUCCUGCUAUCGGUACAGGAAACCGG